ACGGGUGAGUAAUGCCUAGGAAUCUGCCUGGUAGUGGGGGACAACGUUUCGAAAGGAACGCUAAUACCGCAUACGUCCUACGGGAGAAAGCAGGGGACCUUCGGGCCUUGCGCUAUCAGAUGAGCCUAGGUCGGAUUAGCUAGUUGGUGGGGUAAUGGCUCACCAAGGCGACGAUCCGUAACUGGUCUGAGAGGAUGAUCAGUCACACUGGAACUGAGACACGGUCCAGACUCCUACGGGAGGCAGCAGUGGGGAAUAUUGGACAAUGGGCGAAAGCCUGAUCCAGCCAUGCCGCGUGUGUGAAGAAGGUCUUCGGAUUGUAAAGCACUUUAAGUUGGGAGGAAGGGCAGUAAGUUAAUACCUUGCUGUUUUGACGUUACCGACAGAAUAAGCACCGGCUAACUCUGUGCCAGCAGCCGCGGUAAUACAGAGGGUGCAAGCGUUAAUCGGAAUUACUGGGCGUAAAGCGCGCGUAGGUGGUUUGUUAAGUUGGAUGUGAAAGCCCCGGGCUCAACCUGGGAACUGCAUCCAAAACUGGCAAGCUAGAGUACGGUAGAGGGUGGUGGAAUUUCCUGUGUAGCGGUG
Molecule: ribosomal RNA, 585 nt
Filed under: Pseudomonas sp. StFRB117
Lineage: Bacteria; Pseudomonadati; Pseudomonadota; Gammaproteobacteria; Pseudomonadales; Pseudomonadaceae
Also listed under: 6 other names
Description: bacterial SSU rRNA
Rfam family: Bacterial small subunit ribosomal RNA
Source: RNAcentral